This 1325-nucleotide long non-coding RNA is filed under the name Elaeis guineensis (African oil palm). RNAcentral's name for it is "long non-coding RNA (EGUI_LNC062476)". Lineage: Eukaryota; Viridiplantae; Streptophyta; Magnoliopsida; Arecales; Arecaceae. The record is from RNAcentral.
AAAAGUUUCAUGAUCAUAAACCAUUAAUGUAUGCAAUGAAAUAUAAUCUAAAAAUUAUUUUUAAAAUCUAAAAAUUAUGUUAAUUGCAUGUGGGUAUGGGUUGAAUAAAUUAGGUCUAGUAAUCAAACUACAAUUAGAAUCAAUUGAUUAGAUCAGAUUACAAUCCUUUUCGAUUUUAAGCAAAUGAUCGAACCUAAUCAAUGAUUGGUUAGGAUUUGGUUAAAAAAACUCGAAAUUGAGUUUAGUUGUAGUUGGUUGCAUCGAUUCAUAUUUUGAUGUGAAUUGAUUGACUCAAGAUUGAAUUUGACUUAGUGGUCUAAGUCUGACUCACUAGACUAGUCUGUUCGAUUCUAAUUGAUCAAUUACUGUCUAAGAUAAGUUAAUAGUUCGAUCGGUGAUUUUUAGUUAGAAGCAUGCUUACCUGGCCAUUUUGAUAGUGUCUAAGAUAAGCAUCGACAUAUCCUCCCAUCAAUCUCAUUUAUCUGACCAAUUUGAUCAAUUAUGGAUUGAAUAAGGUUGCUUGAUCAUUCGUGUUCACCCAUACUGAUCAGGUUAGUCAGAUAUAAGAUUGUGCUAAUCUGAACAUGAUCAAUCAGACAUCAAAUAUGUUGAUUUAGAUGAGAUUAAAUCAAAAUCUUCUCACUAAAUAUUAAGUCUAGCAAUCUUCCACCAUUGUAGAGAUAUGGAUACUUUCCUGACAUUGAUCAUUCUCGACUAAUUAUAGUGGUUUGGUUGCAUCAGAAAGAUACAAUCACUCUAUUGAUAUAAGAUACCCCAGGAUAAAGAUGGGGUCAAUCCAAUAACUGUUAGGUGAGGGACCCAAUGAUGGCUUUACGUCCACUGAUGAAUGACAGAUCAGACUUAACUAAAAAAUGUGUCAAUAACUAUUAGGUGAGGCCAUAGGACUUAGAGACCAAAUCCAUUGCAUCUUGCUUAAUGAAGCAAUGGAUAAAUUAUUGUCCACUCAUUAGGCUGUGCUCAUCAAUAACUAUUAGGUGAGGUGUGUAUGGAUCAGUAGGACCACGAUACCCACUAGAAAUCGAUUGCGUAUAGAUUUUUGUUUCUCUAUUCGAAGAGUAUGGGAGAUUCGAGAAAAUAGUAGAAGUAUUGUUUAUUUUUAAAAUCUCUAAAAUAAAUAUUUAACAAGUACAAACAUCCAAAUAGAAAUCAUUCUCUUUGCAGAUAACCAUAUCGAGUUUCAAUCUAUUAGUUUGAAUCCUUAACACCAAUAGGUUGAUCGGGACAAACUACAAAGAUUGAUUCUGAAACUUGAGAAUUAUUCUCAAUUUUGAAAAGUUGACCUAUGUAUUAGAUCAGGAUGCACC